Molecule: ribosomal RNA, 423 nt
Filed under: uncultured Glomeraceae
Lineage: Eukaryota; Fungi; Glomeromycota; Glomeromycetes; Glomerales; Glomeraceae
Description: SSU rRNA
Rfam family: Eukaryotic small subunit ribosomal RNA
Source: RNAcentral
GGGAGGUAGUGACAAUAAAUAACAAUACGGGGUUCUUUCGGAUCUCGUAAUUGGAAUGAGUACAAUUUAAAUCUCUUAACGAGGAACAAUUGGAGGGCAAGUCUGGUGCCAGCAGCCGCGGUAAUUCCAGCUCCAAUAGCGUAUAUUAAAGUUGUUGCAGUUAAAAAGCUCGUAGUUGAAUUUCGGGGUCAGCAGGUUGGUCGUGCCUAUGGUAUGCACUGGCCUCGCUGAUUCCUCCCUCUUUAUGAGCCGUAAUGUCAUUAAUUUGGUGUUGCGGGGAAUCAGGACUGUUACUUUGAAAAAAUUAGAGUGUUUAAAGCAGACUAUCGUCUGAAUACAUUAGCAUGGAAUAAUGAAAUAGGACGUUUGAUCCUAUUUUGUUGGUUUCUAGGAUUGACGUAAUGAUUAAUAGGGAUAGUUGGG